AAACUGCGAAUACCGGAGAAUGUUAUCACGGGAGACACACGGCGGGUGCUAACGUCCGUCGUGAAGAGGGAAACAACCCAGACCGCCAGCUAAGGUCCCAAAGUCAUGGUUAAGUGGGAAACGAUGUGGGAAGGCCCAGACAGCCAGGAUGUUGGCUUAGAAGCAGCCAUCAUUUAAAGAAAGCGUAAUAGCUCACUGGUCGAGUCGGCCUGCGCGGAAGAUGUAACGGGGCUAAACCAUGCACCGAAGCUGCGGCAGCGACGCUUAUGCGUUGUUGGGUAGGGGAGCGUUCUGUAAGCCUGUGAAGGUGUGCUGUGAGGCAUGCUGGAGGUAUCAGAAGUGCGAAUGCUGACAUAAGUAACGAUAAAGCGGGUGAAAAGCCCGCUCGCCGGAAGACCAAGGGUUCCUGUCCAACGUUAAUCGGGGCAGGGUGAGUCGACCCCUAAGGCGAGGCCGAAAGGCGUAGUCGAUGGGAAACAGGUUAAUAUUCCUGUACUUGGUGUUACUGCGAAGGGGGGACGGAGAAGGCUAUGUUGGCCGGGCGACGGUUGUCCCGGUUUAAGCGUGUAGGCUGGUUUUCCAGGCAAAUCCGGAAAAUCAAGGCUGAGGCGUGAUGACGAGGCACUACGGUGCUGAAGCAACAAAUGCCCUGCUUCCAGGAAAAGCCUCUAAGCAUCAGGUAACAUCAAAUCGUACCCCAAACCGACACAGGUGGUCAGGUAGAGAAUACCAAGGCGCUUGAGAGAACUCGGGUGAAGGAACUAGGCAAAAUGGUGCCGUAACU
This 784-nucleotide ribosomal RNA is filed under the name Escherichia coli. RNAcentral describes it as "partial 23S ribosomal RNA". It matches the Rfam family "Bacterial large subunit ribosomal RNA", at positions 951 to 1735 of the family's 2925-position model. The record is from RNAcentral. Lineage: Bacteria; Pseudomonadati; Pseudomonadota; Gammaproteobacteria; Enterobacterales; Enterobacteriaceae.